Non-coding RNA from Nothobranchius furzeri (turquoise killifish), 925 nucleotides. NCBI's taxonomy places the organism in Eukaryota, Metazoa, Chordata, Actinopteri, Cyprinodontiformes, Nothobranchiidae. The record is from RefSeq and is a predicted model, not a curated record.
AUUGUUUAUGGUUGUGUAAUUACGCUCCUUGCCUUGUCUCUGUUCUACGUUUGCCUUUCUGACUGAAUGAACGACUUCCUUUUCCUCUGAAACUUAAGGUAGGGGUCAAGCAUCGGCGUGUGUGUGGCAAGGUGGAGAGGCAAGGGCCCGGGCGGGAUUCGAUCCCCAGGCUCCUCCGAAGAAAUCGUUUUAUAUUGUCAGAAAUUAAAUAGACUAAACAUCUCCAACCCUUACCGUGCCCCUGGGAUACUUUUUAAAAACGCCAGAAGCUGUCGGAGCGGACUUCUUACCGGACCUGGCCGGGGAACCCCUUGGGAUUUCCCCAGAGGAUGCUUGUCCAAGUGGCUGGGGAGAGGGAAGUCUGGACCUCUCGAUGCUACUGCCCCCGUAACCCGACUCCGGAUAAGCGGAUGAAAAUGGAUGGACAAAUAACAGAUUUACACCUGCUAAUAUUGAUGAAGAGGCUUUGAGAAGCUUUGAGAAGCUUUGCACGAGAUGACCUGAAGGAUCUUUUUCCUGCUCCUGAGAAUUUCUUUCGGAGAAAGAAACUUUGGGAUUUUAUCAGCCAAAAAGUUGAAAAUACGGACUACAAUACUGCCAAGUCUUUUAAUCAGAGUGGGAGUACACCCUUAGAUCAUGAUGUGUCACAUUGUCAGCCUCAAACUUCCACUCCCAUUUCCUACACUGCUGACAAAACCAUGAAAAUGCCAAACCCACCAGAGUAUGUGGUGCAUACAGAUUCAGAGCUGGACAUGGUGCGCGAUCAGUAUUUUGCAUUGCUCCGCAGUGGAAAGUAAAAGGACUGCAUGAUGUCGAAGGAGCUCUGUUGCAGACUUGUAAGGAACACGGUCACCAGCAUGGUUGCAAUUCUGCAUGCUAGUCCCAGGGGGAAAGAAGCAAGAUGCCCCUCCAAACUUGAAAUGAG